This 299-nucleotide unclassified non-coding RNA is filed under the name plant metagenome. RNAcentral's name for it is "partial contains 5.8S ribosomal RNA, internal transcribed spacer 2, and large subunit ribosomal RNA". The stretch from base 1 to 105 matches the Rfam family "5.8S ribosomal RNA", at positions 50 to 154 of the family's 154-position model. The record is from RNAcentral.
GAAAUGCGAUAAGUAAUGUGAAUUGCAGAAUUCAGUGAAUCAUCGAAUCUUUGAACGCACAUUGCGCCCCCUGGCAUUCCGGGGGGCAUGCCUGUUCGAGCGUCAUUACACCACUCAAGCCUGGCUUGGUAUUGAGCGCCGCGGCCUGCCCGCGCGCUCCAAUGUCUCCGGCUGAGCCGUCCGUCUCUAAGCGUUGUGAAUAGCGAUCGCUUGCGAGGCCCGGGCGGUUCGACGUCGUUAAACCCCCCAUUUUCUAUGGUUGACCUCGGAUCAGGUAGGGAUACCCGCUGAACUUAAGC